AGAGUUUGAUCCUGGCUCAGGACGAACGCUGGCGGCGUGCUUAACACAUGCAAGUCGAACGAUGAAGUUCCUUCGGGAAUGGAUUAGUGGCGAACGGGUGAGGAACACGUGAGAAACCUGCCUUUCAUUUUGGGAUAACUCCGGGAAACCGGGGCUAAAACCGAAUACUCCGUCUCGGCGGCAUCGCUGAGCCGGGAAAAAAUUUUGAUGAAAGAUGGUCUCGCGGCCUAUCAGCUAGUUGGUGAGGUAAUGGCUCACCAAGGCGACGACGGGUAGCCGGCCUGAGAGGGCGACCGGCCACACUGGGACUGAGACACGGCCCAGACUCCUACGGGAGGCAGCAGUGGGGAAUAUUGGGCAAUGGGCGCAAGCCUGACCCAGCGACGCCGCGUGAGGGAUGAAGGCCUUCGGGUUGUAAACCUCUUUCAGUAGGGAAGAAGCGAAAGUGACGGUACCUAAAGAAGAAGCACCGGCUAACUAUGUGCCAGCAGCCGCGGUAAUACAUAGGGUGCAAGCGUUGUCCGGAAUUAUUGGGCGUAAAGAGCUCGUAGGUCGUUUGUCGCGUCGAUUGUGAAAAUCUGAGGCUCAACCUCAGACCUGCAGUCGAUACGGGCAAACUAGAGUGUGGUAGGGGAGACUGGAAUUCCUGGUGUAGCGGUGGAAUGCGCAGAUAUCAGGAGGAACACCAAUGGCGAAGGCAGGUCUCUGGGCCAUAACUGACACUGAGGAGCGAAAGCGCGGGGAGCGAACAGGAUUAGAUACCCUGGUAGUCCGCGCCGUAAACGAUGGGCACUAGCUGUGAGAGCCUUCCACGGUUCUCGCGACGCAGCAAACGCAUUAAGUGCCCCGCCUGGGGAGUACGAUCGCAAGAUUAAAACUCAAAGGAAUUGACGG
This 894-nucleotide ribosomal RNA is filed under the name uncultured Actinomycetes bacterium. RNAcentral's name for it is "bacterial SSU rRNA". It matches the Rfam family "Bacterial small subunit ribosomal RNA", at positions 8 to 916 of the family's 1533-position model. The record is from RNAcentral. Lineage: Bacteria; Bacillati; Actinomycetota; Actinomycetes.